Molecule: ribosomal RNA, 371 nt
Filed under: uncultured organism
Description: bacterial SSU rRNA
Rfam family: Bacterial small subunit ribosomal RNA
Source: RNAcentral
CGUAGGUGGCGGGCGUUGUCCGGAAUUAUUGGGCGUAAAGAGCGUGUAGGUGGGAUAGUCAGUCUCAUUUAAAAGAUCGGGGCUCAACCCCGUUAUGGGUGAGAAACAGCUAUUCUUGAGUGCAGGAGAGGAAAGCGGAAUUCCCAGUGUAGCGGUGAAAUGCGUAGAUAUUGGGAGGAACACCAGUGGCGAAGGCGGCUUUCUGGACUAUGUCUGACACCGAGGCGCGAAAGCUAGGGGAGCGAACGGGAUUAGAUACCCCGGUAGUCCUAGCCGUAAACGAUGGGUACUAGGUGUAGGGGGUAUCGACCCCUUCUGUGCCGGAGUUAACGCAAUAAGUACCCCGCCUGGGGAGUACGGCCGCAAGGUUG